RNAcentral lists this small nuclear RNA (103 nucleotides) under Rhipicephalus microplus (southern cattle tick). Lineage: Eukaryota; Metazoa; Arthropoda; Arachnida; Ixodida; Ixodidae. The record is from RNAcentral.
GUACUUCCAAAGUACAUAUACUAAAAUUGGAACGAUACAGAGAAGAUUAGCAUGGCCCCUGCGCAAGGAUUACACGCAAAAUCGUGAAGCGUUCCACAUUUUU